GAUGAACGCUGGCGGCGUGCCUAAUACAUGCAAGUCGAGCGAACGGACGAGAAGCUUGCUUCUCUGAUGUUAGCGGCGGACGGGUGAGUAACACGUGGAUAACCUACCUAUAAGACUGGGAUAACUUCGGGAAACCGGAGCUAAUACCGGAUAAUAUUUUGAACCGCAUGGUUCAAAAGUGAAAGACGGUCUUGCUGUCACUUAUAGAUGGAUCCGCGCUGCAUUAGCUAGUUGGUAAGGUAACGGCUUACCAAGGCAACGAUGCAUAGCCGACCUGAGAGGGUGAUCGGCCAUACUGGAACUGAGACACGGUCCAGACUCCUACGGGAGGCAGCAGUAGGGAAUCUUCCGCAAUGGGCGAAAGCCUGACGGAGCAACGCCGCGUGAGUGAUGAAGGUCUUCGGAUCGUAAAACUCUGUUAUUAGGGAAGAACAUAUGUGUAAGUAACUGUGCACAUCUUGACGGUACCUAAUCAGAAAGCCACGGCUAACUACGUG
This 497-nucleotide ribosomal RNA is filed under the name uncultured bacterium. RNAcentral describes it as "partial 16S ribosomal RNA". It matches the Rfam family "Bacterial small subunit ribosomal RNA", at positions 28 to 507 of the family's 1533-position model. The record is from RNAcentral.